This 496-nucleotide ribosomal RNA is filed under the name uncultured bacterium. Its description in RNAcentral is "partial 16S ribosomal RNA". It matches the Rfam family "Bacterial small subunit ribosomal RNA", at positions 29 to 507 of the family's 1533-position model. The record is from RNAcentral.
AUGAACGCUGGCGGCGUGCCUAAUACAUGCAAGUCGCGCGAACAGACGAGGAGCUUGCUCCUCUGACGUUAGCGGCGGACGGGUGAGUAACACGUGGAUAACCUACCUAUAAGACUGGGAUAACUUCGGGAAACCGGAGCUAAUACCGGAUAAUAUAUUGAACCGCAUGGUUCAAUAGUGAAAGACGGUUUUGCUGUCACUUAUAGAUGGAUCCGCGCCGCAUUAGCUAGUUGGUAAGGUAACGGCUUACCAAGGCAACGAUGCGUAGCCGACCUGAGAGGGUGAUCGGCCACACUGGAACUGAGACACGGUCCAGACUCCUACGGGAGGCAGCAGUGGGGAAUCUUCCGCAAUGGGCGAAAGCCUGACGGAGCAACGCCGCGUGAGUGAUGAAGGUCUUCGGAUCGUAAAACUCUGUUAUUAGGGAAGAACAAAUGUGUAAGUAACUAUGCACGUCUUGACGGUACCUAAUCAGAAAGCCACGGCUAACUACGUG